GAUGCAAAAACAAAACAAAAGACUAAUAAGCAGAAAAUUAGAGAGGAAAAAAAAAUAUAAGAAAAAUGAUACCUUACUCCUGAAUUGUUGUUUUGCUAGACCGAUUGUUUUAAGACCAGCUUUUUUCCUUCUCUUUUGCCAACUAAUCUCUCUCUUUUUUAUGUGCUUUCAAUUUGUGUUUUCAAUUGUGCUCCUCUUUGUCUUCUUGUGGCCGACUAUUUAUAGACUUUUUGGUAUAGAUUUCAAAAGACAAAAGAAUAAUUGUCAAUUGAUUACCAUUAAUCUAUUUUUGUUGGUUUCUUUUCUUUUAAUUGGCCACAAUUAUACCGAUUCUUAUUGCUAUUGAUUCAUUU
RNAcentral lists this long non-coding RNA (353 nucleotides) under Cicer arietinum (chickpea). Its description in RNAcentral is "long non-coding RNA (CARI_LNC003176)". Lineage: Eukaryota; Viridiplantae; Streptophyta; Magnoliopsida; Fabales; Fabaceae. The record is from RNAcentral.